Molecule: ribosomal RNA, 253 nt
Filed under: uncultured bacterium
Lineage: Bacteria
Description: partial 16S ribosomal RNA
Rfam family: Bacterial small subunit ribosomal RNA
Source: RNAcentral
UACGAAGGGGGCUAGCGUUGCUCGGAAUCACUGGGCGUAAAGCGCACGUAGGCGGAUCUUUAAGUCAGGGGUGAAAUCCUGGAGCUCAACUCCAGAACUGCCUUUGAUACUGGGGAUCUCGAGUCCGGGAGAGGUGAGUGGAACUGCGAGUGUAGAGGUGAAAUUCGUAGAUAUUCGCAAGAACACCGGUGGCGAAGGCGGCAUCCUGGACCGGCAUUGACGCUGAGGCGCGAAAGCCAGGGGAGCAAACGGG